Molecule: transfer RNA, 88 nt
Filed under: Calderihabitans maritimus
Lineage: Bacteria; Bacillati; Bacillota; Clostridia; Neomoorellales; Calderihabitantaceae
Description: tRNA-Leu
Rfam family: tRNA
About the family: Transfer RNA (tRNA) molecules are approximately 80 nucleotides in length. Their secondary structure includes four short double-helical elements and three loops (D, anti-codon, and T loops).
Source: RNAcentral
GCCGAAGUGGUGGAAUUGGCAGACGCGCUGGACUCAAAAUCCAGUGGGCAUUGCGCCCGUGUGGGUUCGACUCCCACCUUCGGCACCA